CGAUAAGGAUAACGAUUAUCUUGAUACAGUGACCCUGGAAUGGAAGAGUCUGCCUGUUGAUUACUGCAAAUUGACGAGGUGCAAGAAUAAAAACGGUUGUAUCGAUACGAAAGUCAUUGUUCCGUCUGUCAAAAAUAAUUCUAACCUCAAAUACGAAAAAGUGACGUUAACCAAACGUUGAUCGUACAGUGAACGUAUUAAAGAUUUGUUAUCGCCGAGCAAAUAUAACAGUGAAAAAUCAACGUUCCGUGACGAUCGUGUCAGUCAUCGGAUAUCUAUCAGUAGUGCCAGGAGUAUUGAGAAUAUCAAGCACAGAUAAGCAAGGACACGUCUCAGCGAGCAGCGGUAACUCCAAGAAGAAACGUUAAUGAACAGUUAUGGACGUGAAGAAGAAGAAUAAGGGGAGUAAAAAAAACAAAGCAUAAGAAGAGAAGCUGCAUCGUUCUAAGGUAGAAGCGGAGAACGAUUUAUCUAAAUCUUCCGUAAACGACAGCCCACCCGUUCGAACGAGAUAACUGUCAAUUUUAAUUAGUCAGACAUCACGCGCCAGCUUGACAUCCAUUUACACCCUGGGCAUCAAUUUGCCCCUGUAAACUCAAGCAUGGCGACAAACUGAGAAUAUUCAAGGUUACCACGGCUGGAGGAGAAGAUUAAAAAGAAAUGGUCCGGGGUCACGGAAUCCUUACCUGGUGCCGAGUGAUGAAUCUGCUGUCAUCAGGAGGAAGCCACCAGGACUUUGAGAACUCGCUUUUCUCUCCUCCCAUACGUGGAUUCCCCAGAGCAAUUUGUGGAUGGAAAACAGGAGGAAGUCAUUUAGCAGAUUUCUACUGGUGUCAGGGAGAGAAAGAAAGAAAAAAAAAUAAGACUAGAAAGGAAUAGAAAUGCAGGACGGAAGGUAUAAAAAAAAUCUUUAAGAACGUAAAGGAGGUUCCCAACAUCCUUAUUCUAAAAAUAAGAAAAUUGAUAGUCCCAAUUUAUGGGACUCGCGUGGAUCCUUAGAGGAGCCAUGAAUGGCCACUGAUUAGGAGGACCCUCCAAUAAUUCACAGGGUACGAAUCAUCCUUAUCCAAAAAGACCUUAUCCCAACGACCGACGAGAUGCCGCGAUAAAUUGAUGAUGGCUGUCGUCGUUAACGUCCACCACAGCAGUUCAUUCUCAUGGGAUAUACGAGGGGAUUUUACCUAUAUGCAUGAAAAUCGAGGGUGAAACCCCUGAUCGAUUUCCUUAUAUCUAUAUACCUAUAGCUACCCGGACGCAAUACGUCGAUGUUAAUGGACUCUAGGAAAUAGUCUCGUUUCCCUUGAAUUUCCUCUUUUUUACCUCAAAGGUAAAGGAGGUAAGGAGAAAAAAAAAAGUACUUGACGUUAAAAGGACAUUAAAAGCAUCCAUCCCUUAGCGACUACUAUUUCAAAAUGAUUGAUCGAGCAUCCUGUCCCCGUCUUCAAAGAGUCCUCGUGUUUCAACGCUGACAGGAUUCGUGAUCCUGAACGUCAGUCAAGCCCAAAAUUGCACUUCCCGACACGAGUCCCUUCAUUGCGGGGAGAGAGCCUUGUUUACGCAGGGGUAGUCCCCUCAGCUUCUAGUCUUCUAGUCUUCUAGUCUUCUAGUCUUCCAUGUUGUAAUCAAAGCGUCCGAGCUGCUGAUCAAAGCAAAAGGGGAAAUCUUAUUUAUGAGUGAAAUGUAUGUGUGAUCAUCUCUUUUUUGACAAGACGGUAAACCUUGUUACUGUAUUCUCGUUUCUUCGAAUUACUCGAAUGGCAGAAUCGGUGGCAGGCAGAAGGCGAUGAAAAUACGAAACUUGUAUAUACGAGGAAAAGAAAGUAAAAAGAGAAUAGAAAAAAUUCUCUAGGGCGUCUGCCUCUGGGUAAACUUGCAUCCCUUUGUCAUUCUUCCGCGAAACGAUCUGCCAUGGUACAGCCAGUUGGUUCGUGUCAAAGCUAUGGGAAAUGCAUUUAUCCUGGUAGCUUUUGUAUCAAAGACUUCCCCUAGCUUUUAUCACUCGUUAUACACACGUAAAUACGUACGUGCGGUUUAUGCGCAGGGGUUGUCAAAUAUUUGGUCGGACAAAUUCUUGCCAAGAUAAAUAUAAGGGAAUUUACUAAUGGAAGCUUCGCUUUUAGUUACCGUUCAAAUACAAAUAUAGUAUAUAGCUUCAAUAGUAUCUGCAAAAGUAUAUAAGCGUAUACCGUACAGUGUGUCUGGAUGAUAAAUUCCUUUUUGCUGGAACAGAAAGGAGUGCUCAUGAGAAUCCUUGUAGUCCAUAGGCCUGUAGUACCCUGGUGCAGGUAUACGUUGCAGAGGGGUUGGAUCCUUUGAGAAGCCUUGUCGUUCAGAAUUCCCCUAGAAUUACCAGAAAGCAAAAACAAAAUAUCCCUAGACUGUCAUAGGUAUAUAUUUAAUGUAGAAAGAAAAAAAAAAAAAACUGUUGCAUACCUCUGAUAUAAUUUUGCAUGUCCUACCGGGUGAGCUUUUGAUACUAUGUUUUAAAGGAAAAUUAAUUAUUAAUUUUCUCUUUCAGCAUCUCCUGUUUUUACAUGGGAAAAUAGUACACAGCCUAGGAGGAGUGUUCGAAAGGAUAUUUUUCUUUUCUUUCCAGUGCACCGUGUGGAGGUUCAGACCGAAAAUAAGAAGUUGAUCCUGAGACUGGUGGUUAGAUUAACAAUGAAAACAACUUCUGAUCCCUGGAGGCUUGCAGCCAUCUUAAUGCCAACCACGUGUCGGUCAAAAACAGUGUAACGGUGCAUGGAUAGAAGUUAUCCAAAGAUUACACAAGCCAGAAUAUAUCUCCACUUAAGCUAAGAGCGUAGCGCAAGGCUCCCACAGGACCUACCGUAAUAUCUAAAAAUAAGAAAAUAAAAGAGCUUCAAGGAAGAAAAAUAAAACCAUAAUAAGAGCCAGAGAAUAAGAGAAGAACGUGUGGCGUAGGUCUAGUAGGUGGAGUCUAAUAGGUGAACCAGGAGAAGGAGCAUUCCUAAAGAUAAGAGAAGCUCUUGAGAAACAUUCAGCAGACAUUCCUUAUCAGUGUUAUGAUAAAAAAAAACUAUUUCAUGCAUCCAACAGCUGUUACCAGUAGCCACAGCAUCCAGUAGGACAGAAUAAUUGUACAAUGAUUGAUAAUAUUAAUUAAUA
Cephus cinctus (wheat stem sawfly) is the source of this 3129-nucleotide long non-coding RNA. RefSeq lists it as uncharacterized. The transcript has 4 exons. The record is from RefSeq and is a predicted model, not a curated record. Lineage: Eukaryota; Metazoa; Arthropoda; Insecta; Hymenoptera; Cephidae.